RNAcentral lists this microRNA (22 nucleotides) under Pristionchus pacificus. RNAcentral describes it as "ppc-miR-2250". Lineage: Eukaryota; Metazoa; Nematoda; Chromadorea; Rhabditida; Neodiplogasteridae. The record is from miRBase by way of RNAcentral.
UGAGAUCGUGUAAAACCAGGAG